Mytilus trossulus (common blue mussel) is the source of this 5591-nucleotide long non-coding RNA. RefSeq lists it as uncharacterized. NCBI's taxonomy places the organism in Eukaryota, Metazoa, Mollusca, Bivalvia, Mytilida, Mytilidae. The record is from RefSeq and is a predicted model, not a curated record. The transcript is spliced from 4 exons.
GUUAUAAAACAGUGCCAAUGUUUUCAUGAAGGGGAGUAAGACUUGUGGUAUAAUAUAUCUUAAAUACAAGCUAGCAAUGAUUACUGCAUUUUAGUAUGAAUAGAGUUUUAGAAUUAUUAUUGGAGUGGACUUUUGAGGUUAGCAUUACAGCUUGUCUGUGCAUAUUGAUGUUGGAAAUGGCUAUAUGAAUGGACUUUUAAAAAUAUUAAUUACUGUGGCUGAAGGAUAUAAAUGUGUGAUUAUUUCUCCAUACUCCUAAAUUAGAGACGUUGUGAAGAUUCUUAACACGUUGACAGCUGGGCUCUCUCUCUUCAGAAGACAUAAGAUUUAAAUCCACAUUCUGACACUGACAUGACUGCAAAUCUGUAUAUCCUGCCUGAGUAUCCUGCACUACCAAACAGAUGCCUUACUUUUACAUGUAUUUUACUGCAAGUCUGAAGAUUAUAGACCAAGAGUGACCAUAUUUCUUUUUGGGUCUUUCUAACUGUACCAAACAGUUUCCAAUAUAAACGGACCAUAUAAAUCUUGCAUAAAUAAGAGAAAGAAUGUAGUAAAAUAAUUAAUGUAAAGAUUCUCCAUUUUCUACAAGAGUGGAAGUUUAAAUUAUUAAAGGUUAAUGUAUUGUGUUUUGAAUUUUCACUCAACUUUAUUUCUCUCUCCACCAUUAAAUGCUUUUGAUUUAUAUUACUUGUUGCUCUUCAUAUAAAAUGGUUUUUAAUAUCAAGUUAACAUUUACAUUAAUUGGUUAGGAAUGGAGAAUCUAAAGAUAACAAAAUUUAAGUAUAGCAAUGGUUUUAUAUGGAUAUAUAUGUAUAAUGAUACAUUCAAGAGAUUGCUUGUAGCAAUAUAUGAGUAAUCCUUAUUUACUACCAGUCACGGACAUUUCCUGACUAAAUAUCAAGUCUAUUGCUACAGGUACUUGACUCAGUUGUAAUUGAUCAUAAGUCUAACAGGGUCAAGGGGAGGUAAAGCCUCAUACUUUAAGUUUCUUAAGUGUUGACCAAUAUUAAACUUAGACAUUCUCUUCUUCAUUUUUUAGUAUUUUGUUAGUAAAUUGACUAAGGUUGUUUUGUCAAAAAAUAAAAGCAGAAGCAUAGUUUUAUUUCCAAAGAUAGUGAUCAAAAGCAAAACUUGGUAUUCAAUUUUUUGUAUCUCACUGAUAAUAUUUGACCAGUAACAGCUUAAAAACCUUCCUUUCUAAUGUUAUGAAAAAUAGAAAUGAGAACAUAAUUAUCUUUUUGAUUAAGAAAAAAAAAAAUUUUAUUUCUUCUUUCCACAUUUUAUUGGUAAAUUUAUUUGAGUUUUUACUGCAAACUUCACACGGCAGUAGCAUGGGCAAACUUUGGGGUUCUGUAUAAAUUAAUCCUUUCAAAAGUUUUUAUUGCUGUUUUUACAAGUUGUGUAGUGUACAUGUGUUCAUUAUUUCUACUUGCAUCAUAUACAUGUUUUUUAAUGGAUUACACUGUAAAACUAUUGUAAUUUGAGCACUACCAGAGUAAAUGAACUGUUUUACAAAGCAUUUAUUUAAUUUUUCAUUCAUUGAGUUACCCCAAGUCCAAAAAAUUGUAGAAUAUUGAUGAAACAUUUUACUUUCAAGGAAUGUAAAAUAAAAGUUUGUGUAAAACAAUCAUUUGUGUACUUAAUGUAAUGUAAAAUUUUGUAUUUUAUUGAAUUCACAUGAAACUUUUUUCUUCUCCUGUAAGAUAGUUAAUGGUUCAAAUAUAUGCCUGUUGAGAAUAAGAUUACAUGAAAGUUAUCAGAAUUUCCACUAAAAAAUAAAAAUAAGAUUUGCAUCAAAGUACACUGUCUGCAAAAAAAGUUCAAUGCAAAAGUCUUAUUGUACUCAGACUUUUUGUAUCAUGUCAAUUAAGCAUAGAAAUAACCAAAAAGAAACAAUUUUUUCUUUCCUAAAGCUUCUAUAUGCACUUUUAUAUGUAAAUAUGUGUUACAGCCUAUAUUGACCUGAACUUAUUUUUAGUCAUGCAUCGCCUUGGACCAUUUUCUAACUGUGUGGUAUGCUGUGUAACUUUUCCAUCCAGAAAGAAUUAUUGAUGGCAAAAUUGCUUUUAAUUUGGUGGACAAAAUUAGAAUUGUUUAGAAGCACCCCUAUUUUAUAUAAAACAUGUACAUAAAAUAACAAGCCCCCUAGCUGUUAAUAUAUGGUGAAAUGGGAUAAAAUCAACUUGGUUAUCAGAAUUUGUGAUUAUCUCCUCUUAAUAAAAAGAAGUUAUGCCAGUGUAGGAAUUUUACAGGAAAAUUUUUGUCCCAAUUCUUUAGAUAGGCCUAAAUCAAACUCCUUGUUUUAAACUAAGCAGAACAGUAAUAUGCUGGUCAAUGUCCCAUGUCCUCUGCAAAUUGGAUAACUGUAAAGAAAGUCUUUAAAUGAUAAACAAUUGUUUCUUUGAUCCAAAAAAUUGAAUAUAAGGGGUAGGGGUAUACACUAAUCAACUUAUGCAAAGGCUGUCAGAUUUGAUUUCAGUAAAUGUCAAUAAAUUGGCUUUCAUUUUUAUGAUUGAAAAAUAAGGGGAGAUAAUUUUGACUUAGAAGAAUCCUGACUGCAAAAGUAGUAGGAAUGAAAAUUUCCAUCUCCCAAGUGAUAAUGUGUUCUUCACAAUUUGUCACCAUAAGAAGAAAUUACAAAUAGAGAGUGAGUGAAGGUAUGACAGUAAACUGGAUUAAGAAUGUUGAAUAAAAUAUGUUUUUGCAAAUUUGGACGACAAUUAAUUGCAAUUAUGUACCAUUUCAACAAUAGAAGUAGUAUUGACUUGCAAAUCCAUACCAUUACAGCACUGGAAGUAGUAUGGUUGUCUGAGCGAAGCCAAUUGGAAGUAUGUACCUCUUAGUGAAGCUAAUUGGGAGCACACCCUCUGUCUUGUUGCGAAGCUGAUUGGAAGCAGUACAUAUAAACCUCUGUCUGCUAAAGCUAGUUAGAAGCAGUACCCCUGGCAGAGAGGUCCCAAUUUAGAAGUAUGUAACUCUGAGGGAAGCCAAUUGGAAGCAUGUACCUCUGCAAAAUUUGAUUAGAAAUUAUUCAACAAAUUUUAUUUAACAUUCUUUUUAAAGUUUACUUGCAUACCAACUCUCAUUUUCUAUUUAUAAUUACUCCCCUUGACAUUGUGACGUGCAAAUUAUCACUUCACCAUUUAGUAGAUCAUUCUAAUAAAUUACUACAACACGCGAUCAAGUAUUGUUAUAAGGGUAAAAUACUUUAAUAAUUUUAGUUUAUGCACCUUUAAAUGAUAACUUAACUUGCUGUAACUUUUUGAAAGCUAAGGUUCCUCAAGAUCUAUACAGAGAAUGAUUUAAGUUUGCUGUGAAGGGCAUACGAUACAGUAACAGGGGAGAUAAUGACAUUGCUACUGUCUAAUGUUACUUUUAGCCAUGUCAAAUAUUUAUAUAUCAGGAAAAGACCCAUUUUUUGACUGAUUUAACAUGAAAAUGAAUUCAUUGACCUCUUUUUUUAAAAAUUACAUCAGGCUUGAAUCUGUUUAAAGAUCAUGUAUGCCAAUUUAAAGAAAUCACCAGUAUAUAGCUGCAUACUAGGAAUUGGUAUUUGUUUACUUGACAAAAAGAGGAUUUUUAUUUUCAGUCGGUCAUGUAUAAAAAAAUAGAUUUCCAGAAAGUUGGCUUCUGUGUCUUGAACUUCUUUUCUUUACACUUCUAAACCCCAACCAAAAAGAUACACUAGUUUUCUCUGCCAAUUAAAAGUGCUGUGUUUACAAACAAUUCAAAAGUUUUGCUUUUUCUGUUAUUGUUUGGAUAUUAAAUACUCUUUUAUUACUUUGGUAGAAACAAAUCAUCACAAUUUCAAUAUCUCAAAACGGACAUCAUGAGGGCUCCCCUGUGAGAAUGUGGGAGCCCUACAGUUUUCACUUUGUUCGUCUGUCAACAAUUUUUGUAAAUACAAAACCUCCCCAAAAAUAGAUAGGUAAAUUAAAGUUAUCUUUAAUAUUCUCUGUGCUUCCAAGCACUUGGAUUACCAUUCUAGGGUUAUGCCUUUACAAAUGGAAAAAUUCCUGAAUGUUUUCGUUUCUGUUCUCUUAAUUUAAGUUUGCCUUAACUUAAUUUUAUGAAAUGUAUAUAUUAUGCUUAUUACCACUUAACUCAGUUUGAGUUCAAAUUUUGACAUCUUCACUUUUAUGGUUCUUGAGUUAUGUCCCUUUAUAACAUUAUAAGCUAGCAGGGGCAUCACCUCUGUCCCUAUGGUCGCAUUGACACCAUUUAUUUUUAUAUAGUGGAAGCAGAUUAGUUGUUAUUUAGGUAUUUAGUAGCAUGAUGCCUUAUAAUUAAAUUUUGCUCGUGUUUCAUAGAAUUAUGCUUGGAAAUAUUUUGAAAACCUUCACUUUCUUCCCAGAGUGUCAAGUUUCAUGAUCAUGUGUUUUGUUUUGAAUAGUUCUCUCCUUUAUUAUAGUGUCCAAAGUAUACCUCUUGAGACAGUUCCUCCAAAUAAAUAGUUUCAAAACAUUUUUCCACUUCAUAUUGAUUUUAUCUGGUUUUAAAUGAGUGUUUUGCAAAUCAAAAGUGUCCAGUGUUACUUCAUUAAUUAUCAUUAUAAUGAUUUUCUUUAUGUGUAUAUGUUUAGUUGUUGUUGUAUUCAUGUAUAUUGUAUGUAUAAUAAUUCCCUAAUCAUAAAAGUAUAACAGGAAUUGAUUGUCUUCUUGCGUAUGUGUAAUACAUGUACAUGUAGGCAUAGGAAUUUUAGCAGCUAAAUAAUUUAGUUGUAAAUUUAAAGUGACAUCUUUAUGUAUUUUAGUUCUAACUUGAACUUUGAACAUUGUAUUGUUAUGGAUGUUGAAAGAACAAAGAAUUGUAUAAUUUUGUAUUUUGAUAUUAAAUUAAUUUCUAUGUAGGUGGAAUGGCUAUUAUAUAUACAAACAUAAUCGUAUUUUAACUUUUGUACCAUGUAUUUUAUAGUUGUAGUCCUCAAGACAAGAUUUCAUUUUUACUUACAUUUACAAACAAAACAAAACAAUAUAUACGUCCGAGUAUGUCUCGUGAGACGACUUGUCGCAUUCAAAGGGUCGGAGCAUAUAUGACGGUUUCCAGACCCUUGGGUCGGACCCAGGUUUCCAGUUUCCCAUUAUUGGGUUUGUUUGGUUGUUCCUGGCCGGCGAGGUCGUUCAUGAUCGAGUUAUUUAUUUGUUCAGUUAUCCAGUUUACAUUCAUGUCAACCAUAUUAUAUCUCUUGUUUGUACAAGGUUUACUUUUUCUAGCUAAAUUGUACCUUAUAGUAUAUUUCAAGUAUAUUUCAAGGUUUUUAUUAUUAGGAAUAAAUGUGGUUAUUGUUUUUGUUCAUAUAUUUAUAUAUUAAGACACAUGUAUGUAAUUAUUUGAUAAAUUUCGUUGUCCACUAUGCUUGCUGGGCUAUCGGCAACACUAUAUAUAUUGUAUUCAUUUAUGCCUUAUAAUAGAUAUGAGCGUAUAGGGUAUACAUAUAGUUAUUCAAAUGCAUAAGGUUGACUUAAGAUUAUUUCUCUAGUACUGAUACAAGUUAUUGAAUUCAUAUUGUAUAAUGUAUGUUUAUAUUGAUAAUUUGUCUUAUAAAAUGGCAGCUCACAAUAUGCUGUACUUGAGCUAGUCAACAAACAUAA